CUAGAAGUACCAUAAUCAGGGUUUGAAUGUCCCCACCCAGACUCAGGUUGAAAUUCAAUUCCCAUUGUGAGGCAGUGAGAGGUGGCACCAGGAGUGACCUUUAAGAGGUGAUGACAUCGUGAGGUCUCUACCCUCACAGAUGAUCCAUUAAUGAAGUGAUGGGUUCAUGGGCUAUGGUUUUUCUCCAGAGUGGGUGUGUUAUAAAAAUCAGUUUGGCUUUGUCUCUUUUAGGCAGCCUUCUCACUAUGUGAUGCCCUGGGCCACCUUAGGUCUCUGCAGAGUCCCUCACCAGGUGUGGCUCCUUGAUCUUGGACCUCCCAGCCUCUAGAACCAUGAUCUGAAUAGAACUUUAUUUUUUUGUAAAAUUACCCAGUCUGUGGUGUUCACUUACAGCAACAGAAAACAGACUGAGACAUCCAGAAUUGAAAACCUGACUCCAGCAGGAAUAUUGUCAAAGUAAAUUUGUAGGUCUACUAUGGGAGACAGUCUUUCUAUAGCUAGAAACAUGUUUGUCUUUUCAAAUACUGUGAAUUUUCCUGCCUCAGGAGCUUGAAUUUUCCAGCUCAAUUCUUCUCUCCCUAUACCCUUGACAGUUGUCACUUUUGUAGUUUUCAAUAUCUUGCCAACUACUUCACUCCGAGUUUGGCUAUGGAACUUGUCCUGGCUGAGUGAUGAACUCAGGGGCUGGAAAUGUGUUGGUGCAGUUGGCUCUGUUCACCUGCACAUCUGUCAUCACCAGUUAGCUCCCAGAUUAGAAGACGAUGAUAAGAGACUUGGAGCAGAGAGCUCUGGAGGUAACCCACAGAAUGAUGCAACGUCACCCCAGCCAAUAUGGAAUAGAGCAAAAGUCACUUUGGGCAAUCUGCAAACUUCUGAGCAAGAAACCAGUGUUUGUUAUUGUAUGCUGUUCAGGUUUUGUGACUGUUUGUUAUGCAGCAAUAUUAUGGCAACAAGCUAACCAAUGUCUUCCCUCUCCAAACAUUAUUUUCUCUAACACUUACUAAAUCCUCAAGUUUUAUGCUUUUUGGCAUUAAUUUUUGUUGAUCUGGGGAAAGUUUUAUCACCAAUGAAAUGACUGUGACUUCUGGGCUGGGGAUGUGGCUCAAGCAGUCGCGCGCUCGCCUGGCAUGCGUGCGGCCCGGGUUUGAUCCUCAGCACCACAUACAAAC
RNAcentral lists this long non-coding RNA (1169 nucleotides) under Marmota monax (woodchuck). Lineage: Eukaryota; Metazoa; Chordata; Mammalia; Rodentia; Sciuridae. The record is from RNAcentral.